GCCAGACUCCUACGGGAGGCAGCAGUGGGGGAUAUUGCACAAUGGGGGAAACCCUGAUGCAGCGACGCCGCGUGAGUGAAGAAGUAUUUCGGUAUGUAAAGCUCUAUCAGCAGGGAAGAAAAAAGACGGUACCUGACUAAGAAGCCCCGGCUAACUACGUGCCAGCAGCCGCGGUAAUACGUAGGGGGCAAGCGUUAUCCGGAUUUACUGGGUGUAAAGGGAGCGUAGACGGCAAUACAAGUCGGAAGUGAAAUACCCGGGCUUAACCUGGGAACUGCUUUGGAAACUGUAUGGCUGGAGUGCUGGAGAGGUAAGCGGAAUUCCUAGUGUAGCGGUGAAAUGCGUAGAUAUUAGGAGGAACACCAGUGGCGAAGGCGGCUUACUGGACAGUAACUGACGUUGAGGCUCGAAAGCGUGGGGAGCAAACAGGAUUAGAUACCCUCGUAA
RNAcentral lists this ribosomal RNA (447 nucleotides) under uncultured bacterium. RNAcentral's name for it is "bacterial SSU rRNA". It matches the Rfam family "Bacterial small subunit ribosomal RNA", at positions 330 to 793 of the family's 1533-position model. The record is from RNAcentral.